Long non-coding RNA from Rhincodon typus (whale shark), 2734 nucleotides. RefSeq lists it as uncharacterized. The record is from RefSeq and is a predicted model, not a curated record. The transcript has 6 exons. NCBI's taxonomy places the organism in Eukaryota, Metazoa, Chordata, Chondrichthyes, Orectolobiformes, Rhincodontidae.
GCCCUUCCCCUCCUAAUGGGGAGAAAAAACUUUUUUUUUAAAUACUAGGAAACCGCUUGUAAUUAAAUGCAGUUCGUGUGCGUGUGUGUGCGCCAAGGAUACUAAAACCAAUUGGUUACGUUUAGCACGCCGUGUGAUUUCUCCCUCUCCCUACCCCCCACCGUCUUUUUCCUGUUUUUUCCACAGUCUGUGUGACUCAUUGUUUUAAACACUCGGAUGCAACAGAAGCUGUAAUCUGAUUAGGCUGACGAUGCAAAACCAGCGUUGCAGCUUUAAAACCGGAGGUGAAACGAUCACAAACCAGCAGCUGUGGGGCUGAGAGAACAUCGCUCAGUUUCUGAGGGCAGCCAUAGGAGGUGCUGAAACUGACUCGAAAUUGAUGGAGUCGCUUGUUGGCGGGAAAUGGGCGCAACUCGGUCUCAUUCGGCAGUGACUACUGCCACAAGGUAUUCUCCAGGCGUCGAGGUACCUUGCUUGAACGCCAGACUCAUCCACAGACUUGAAUACAGACCGGGGAGUGAAUAGUCCCAUAGAAUAGAAGGAAGAUCCGACUCAGCUUGAGCGAGUCGUUGCAAUGGAGAAUUUGCUGAUACGUUUCUCAAGGGCAUCGUGGAGAUUUAUUUUUCAAUCUCAACAUGAACACACGAGCAAGACAGAUCAAGCUAAUCUCCUCCCAGCCCCUCUCGCUCCCCGCUCCUUUUCUUAUUGGCAAAAAAAAGGGCCACGCACUAACGGUGCUGAAGGCAGCGGCACUUUCGGCAUUGGGAAUGUGACGACGGCCGAAAUAAAAUGGUGAAUUUUAAUUUUCUAACUGGGAGCUGAAGAGGCCGUUUGAGCGCGGGAGUGGUUUUCCUCAGGAGUGCAGUUAAUGGGGACUCGUCCCAGCAAAAGUGCCUCGUUCUUUCUGUUCCGCUAUACUUCCAGCCUUUUCGGAUCCACUCCCAAGAAUGUCCAAAUGGGGACAUAGUGUUUCACCAGACACUUAGUGCUAAAAUCGGCUGACCCGUCAUUUUUCCACUCAGCAUUUUGCAACAAGAAGGAAAACGCUGGCUAGCAAUGUCGUUUGGGAUACCACCAGUUCAUUUUUCAGAGCUCCAAACAAAACAAAAAUAUGGCUUUCACUUGUAUAAAUUUAAAGAAUGUAGAGCCGGGAAAUUGCGAGUGUUGCCGGAGUAGAAACUGAGCACUCUGUGACAAUGACCAACUAGAAUUAAACACACAAAUACUUGUCGCUGCGCGAUUUCUAUUCAAACAGAGAACUUGUGGUUGGCAUCGUGGAGCGUCCCGCUAUCUCAGACCCAACAUGACCGAGCUCACUUUAUAGGGCCUGAAAAAAUAUACAUGGAUUUCAUUGAGAUGAUGAACAGGAAUGUUUAUAAUCAGAUUUUAUUGUCAUUUUAUUGAAUGUUCGAAUCUAUAUGUGAAUACAGAGGGAAAUACAAGCACUGGUAGAAAGACGAUAUUGUGAUGACUAGAUUUAAAAUCUUCCAGCAUUAAUGUUUGACACCCAGAUAUCAAAUUUAUGUAGCGAUAAUAGUGGAACUGAAAAUGAGGCUCCUCACAAAUGUCAAACUGCAGCAACUUAAAAUAUGGUUUAUGUAGGGACUGAACAUAUAUACCUUGAUAUGUACAUUAGUGUAGUAAUGCAGAGAGAUCCACUGGGAUGACGAAUAUUCCCGGUAAAAGAUACAAGUAUGAUGACAAAACGAUCUAAACUUGCAGUUAUGAAUGUACUGUGUGUGUGUGACAGUGUGAGUUUCAGAGAGCGUGAAUGAAGCAGAACGGUAGAAACAGUAUUAACAUAGCUGGGGGAUUUCAUCUCCCUGGUGGUUUCUCAGCGUGUGGGGAGGAAGUUCAAGGUAAACCCGGGCCUUUGUUAUCACAGACAGUCCUUCAGCUCAUACAGUCGACCCAGGAGCUGAUGCUGAACUCUUGUGUCCUGUCCAGACUCCGGCGUACAGAUCCCGCGCCCUUAAUGAAUGCAGCCUUGUAUAAUUAAAUAAUUGACUGUUCCCCGGAGGAGCUAUUCGGCGCAUCUGUUCACUGGCUCCACAGGGGAUCCUAGACAAUAUAGGACAGGCAGAAGCUGGAGGAGGAAUCCCGGCACAGAGCUGGUUGUUUCAUCACAGACUCUUUGGGAAAACGCCACCUGCUUUUUAAAUGAACGAGAACAAAAAUCAGGAAAUACUGAACAAAACACAUUUUAACAUUUAAAACGAUGUAGUAUUUCAAAACCAUUAAUUCAUUUGUUUUGCAGAUGUCUUUAGUAUGAUCACAGAUCUUUCUACUUACAAGCCCAACACUAUCCAUUAAAAUUAUUUACACAUUGUAACAAUUCUGCUUUUACUAAGGAGCCUAGGUGUCAUUUGUACUAGACAGCCCAGGGACCAGUUGGCUGAUUCUGAAUGAAAACCGGUUUGGCGGGCAGGAGGACAGGACUGAAUAUUUUGUCUGCAAAUAUAAAAGAACAGCAAAUAUGGACCCAAAGUUUUGGUGCGAAUUGUGUGUUGAUAGUUUGCUUUGGACUGUGGCAAGUGAUGGAAGGUUUCAGAUUCUUUUUGUUCAGUGAAUCCCUCGCAAAAUCACAAAUGAGGGAAUUUGCAAUAAAUAUCUUGACAGCAGCAACUAGGAAGAGAGAGCAGCACGCAUCAAGAGUGACUGUGACGGUAGAUUAAUCUGUAUACUUCUGUAUUGUCUCGCGUAUUUUGUUUAAUAAACAGUGAAUCAAUAUUUA